Molecule: long non-coding RNA, 970 nt
Organism: Prinia subflava (tawny-flanked prinia)
Lineage: Eukaryota; Metazoa; Chordata; Aves; Passeriformes; Cisticolidae
Exons: 4
Source: RefSeq, a predicted model, not a curated record
UUCCCUCCCUUUCUCUUUCCUCUCCGCCCGGGAGUUUACGGGGGGGGGGGGCUGCUCACCCCUCGGUGGCAAAUCGGGAUGGGCUCGGCCCAGCUGGGCCAAUAGUUGUUAUCAGAGGCCCAGCUCAGCCGGCUCCCUCCCGUCUCACCUGGCUCUGGGGCUCCAGUGGGUAGGCAACUUCCCCUCCCCUGCCGGGAGCUGAUGGAGCCCGACCAGGCCUCCGGCCGCCUCUCCCGCCUAACAGGGGGAGCGGCAGGGCCCAGCCAGCCUGAGCCCGGAGGCACAGCCAGGCCUGAGCCGAGCCCCUCCAAGAGGGGGAAGUGGCCAGGGUCUAGCCGGCCUAGCCACUCCUCCUCGGAGCGGCUUCUGGGGCCGGUUGUUACUUGUUCUGCUGGCCGGAAAGGAAAAGGACUGGCUUGGACCCUCUCAGAAUGGCUCUGGCUGGGAGUACAGAACUACCUACAUUCAGACCUGACUGAAUUCUAAUUGAGAGGGUGAACUGUGGGAGUUGGCCAAGCUGAAGCAACUCUAAACCUAAGGCCAUGGGAAAUCCCUUUCUAGUUGUGGUGAUGCCUCUGAGCUGUUUCUGGGUGGCCUUUGCUGGAAAGAUUUUGAGGCUUGAAAAUUUCUCCUAGCUUGCAAUUUGACCAUGUGGGCGCCAGAUGUCGCUGUGAGCCUCGCUUGAAAAGACACACGGAGCCAGGAAUUUGGGAGAGCAGAAGCAGCAGGGGACAAUUCCCGCAUUGUUUAUUACUUCCUAUUAUAUACUUUUAGCAAGGUGACCAUGGAUUGGAGAGUGGUAUUCCCACCUCUCAACCACAUUGGUCAAAGGGACUGUCACACAGUCAUUCCUCCCCUUGGAGAAGAAUGUAAAACAAUGAUAAUGUUUGCAAAACAUUGCUGUUUCCCUGAAACGAGCCUGAGAAGGUUCUACUUUAAUAUGAACGCUCAGCAAACUAGGUGUCGUAGU